GGUCACCAUAGUGACAGGGGAAGUAUUGGACCUGGCACGUAGCUGAAGCCAAAGUGAGAUUCCUGGGGCGCACCUGGGAGGCUGCAGAAUGUCACCAGACAAGGAAGCCUAGCAGGAAGGAAGGUUGGGAACAGGAAAUUGCCAGUAUCAAGAAAGGCGUAUACGGAACAGUAUUCUCUGUGCACCUCUGCCUUCCGCUUGCUCUCGGCCCCGUUCCCUUCAGCGAGCACCUGAUCCCAUUAAGUAAACUUUCUACUAUUUAGAAAGCAAGCCACGUAUCAAGUGUACACCCCCACCCCUUCCUUCACCCCAGAUAUUGUGCUGGCCCUGGAUGAUAAAAAAUAGGUAGUCUCUUCCCGAGUCUCCAAGAAGCUCACGGUAUAGCAGGCGGUUUGGAUGCAGUCAUAGAAACCUCCGGAAAUGCAUCAUGGGAUAUGUGUCUGCAGUGGCCGAUGUAGCAGUGCACCCUGAAUGAAAGCAGGGAAUGAACCCAGCUCCAGGACAGGGGAAGAGGAGCCCUGGAAAGUUUCUGGGGCAGACACCAGAACCAAGGGGGCAAAGGCAACUGAGGAGGAAGAAGUUGGUGGAUGUUUUGGGGGAUCUUGGAGAGCUACGAAUGCAGAAUUGAAGAAAGCAGAGGUGGGAUUUAUAGCAUUCCUGAUGACAAACAGUGCUAGGUUUUCAGCUUUUUCCUUUCUCUAAAAACAUCUCCCAAACUGGAUGCCAACUGGCUUCAAGGGAAGUCAGUAGACUUGCAGUGCUUUUUCAUUUUUAAGGGUGCUGUGGAGGGAUGUGGGUCCGCUUAAUUUUGUUUCCUAUAGAGGUCAGUUUCUCUGUCAUCAUAGACAGCACUGGGAAUCAUAGCCCUCUUCCCUGUCUCUGGCCAAGACCCUUGACAGAGGUGAGACUGGAGCUUGAAAGCCAAGUGGCCACCUACAACAGAGGAUGCCUUACCUUCUAGAGCUUUCUGGGCUGUGGAGCUGGGGACUUGCCAAGCCUUUCCCUUAUUCUAGUUCCUGUUAACAUCCAGACCCUCAGUAUGUCUCCUCAGACCAAAAAACAAAGGACUAAAAACUCCCAGAGCAUUUUUUGCUGAAUGACAGAACAUGGAAUAAAUGUUCCACACCCAUUGGCCUGACCUAAAUG
RNAcentral lists this long non-coding RNA (1146 nucleotides) under Mus spicilegus (steppe mouse). RNAcentral describes it as "lncRNA (ENSMSIG00000014621.1)". Lineage: Eukaryota; Metazoa; Chordata; Mammalia; Rodentia; Muridae. The record is from RNAcentral.